AACGAACGCUGGCGGCAGGCCUAACACAUGCAAGUCGAGCGGGGACUUCGGUCCUAGCGGCGGACGGGUGAGUAACGCGUGGGAACGUGCCCUUUGCUUCGGAAUAGCCCCUGGAAACGGGGAGUAAUACCGGAUGUGCCCUAUGGGGGAAAGAAUUUCGGCAAAGGAUCGGCCCGCGUUGGAUUAGGUAGUUGGUGGGGUAAUGGCCUACCAAGCCGACGAUCCAUAGCUGGUUUGAGAGGAUGAUCAGCCACACUGGGACUGAGACACGGCCCAGACUCCUACGGGAGGCAGCAGUGGGGAAUCUUAGACAAUGGGCGCAAGCCUGAUCUAGCCAUGCCGCGUGAGCGAUGAAGGCCUUAGGGUUGUAAAGCUCUUUCGUGGGGGGAAGAUAAUGACGGUACCCCAAGAAGAAGCCCCGGCUAACUCCGUGCCAGCAGCCGCGGUAAU
This 450-nucleotide ribosomal RNA is filed under the name uncultured bacterium. Its description in RNAcentral is "bacterial SSU rRNA". It matches the Rfam family "Bacterial small subunit ribosomal RNA", at positions 29 to 524 of the family's 1533-position model. The record is from RNAcentral.